This 213-nucleotide ribosomal RNA is filed under the name uncultured bacterium. RNAcentral describes it as "partial 16S ribosomal RNA". It matches the Rfam family "Bacterial small subunit ribosomal RNA", at positions 1288 to 1500 of the family's 1533-position model. The record is from RNAcentral.
UCAGUUCGGACUGUAGGCUGCAACUCGCCUACACGAAGUUGGAAUUGCUAGUAAUCGUGGAUCAGCAUGCCACGGUGAAUACGUUCCCGGGUCUCGUACACACCGCCCGUCACACCAUGGGAGCUGGUAACACCCGAAGUCAGUAGUCUAACCGCAAGGAGGACGCUGCCGAAGGUGGGAUUAGCGACUGGGGUGAAGUCGUAACAAGGUAAC